RNAcentral lists this ribosomal RNA (495 nucleotides) under uncultured bacterium. RNAcentral describes it as "partial 16S ribosomal RNA". It matches the Rfam family "Bacterial small subunit ribosomal RNA", at positions 29 to 506 of the family's 1533-position model. The record is from RNAcentral.
AUGAACGCUGGCGGCGUGCCUAAUACAUGCAAGUCGAGCGAACAGACGAGGAGCUUGCUCCUCUGACGUUAGCGGCGGACGGGUGGGUAACACGUGGAUAACCUACCUAUAAGACUGGGAUAACUUCGGGAAACCGGAGCUAAUACCGGAUAAUAUAUUGAACCGCAUGGUUCAAUAGUGAAAGACGGUUUUGCUGUCACUUAUAGAUGGAUCCGCGCCGCAUUAGCUAGUUGGUAAGGUAACGGCUUACCAAGGCAACGAUGCGUAGCCGACCUGAGAGGGUGAUCGGCCACACUGGAACUGAGACACGGUCCAGACUCCUACGGGAGGCAGCAGUAGGGAAUCUUCCGCAAUGGGCGAAAGCCUGACGGAGCAACGCCGCGUGAGUGAUGAAGGUCUUCGGAUCGUAAAACUCUGUUAUUAGGGAAGAACAAAUGUGUAAGUAACUAUGCACGUCUUGACGGUACCUAAUCAGAAAGCCACGGCUAACUACGU